UACGAAUGGGGCAAGCGUUGUUCGGAAUCACUGGGCGUAAAGCGUACGUAGGCGGCUUUUCAAGUCAGAAGUGAAAGCCUUGGGCUCAACCCAAGAAUUGCUUUUGAAACUGGAUCGCUAGAGUCCCGGAGAGGUUGGCGGAAUUCCGAGUGUAGAGGUGAAAUUCGCAGAUAUUCGGAGGAACACCAGUGGCGUAGGCGGCCAACUGGACGGGAACUGACGCUGAGGUACGAAAGCAUGGGGAGCAAACAGG
Molecule: unclassified non-coding RNA, 253 nt
Filed under: uncultured Alphaproteobacteria bacterium
Lineage: Bacteria; Pseudomonadati; Pseudomonadota; Alphaproteobacteria
Description: contains 16S-23S intergenic spacer region
Rfam family: Bacterial small subunit ribosomal RNA
Source: RNAcentral